AAGUCGUAACAAGGUUUCCGUAGGUGAACCUGCGGAAGGAUCAUUACUGUAGGGACUUGUCCCCGCUGAGAUAGCACCCACUGUUCAUGAGUACCCUCGUUUCCUGGGCAGGCCCGCCUGCCCAUGGACAGUAUAAACCUCCUGCGGUAGCAGUACUUUUUGGUUAAAACACAAAUGUUAAAACUUUCAACAACGGAUCUCUUGGUUCUGGCAUCGAUGAAGAACGCAGCGAAAUGCGAUAAGUAGUGUGAAUUGCAGAAUUCAGUGAAUCAUCGAAUCUUUGAACGCACAUUGCGCCCUCCGGUAUUCCGGCGGGCAUGCCUGUUCGAGCGUCAUUUAAACCUUCAAGCUUUUGCUUGGUGUUGGGUGUUUGUUCCGCCUUGGUGCGUGGACUCGCCUCAAAUCUAUUGGCAGCUGGCACGUUGGCCUCAUGCGCAGCACGUUGCUCAUCGAUUCCAACCCUCCCUCCUUCCAUCAAGCUCCUUUUUUACUUUGACCUCGGAUCAGGUAGGGAUACCCGCUGAACUUAAGCAUAUCAAUAAGCGGAGGAAAAGAAACCAACAGGGAUUGCCCUAGUAACGGCGAGUGAAGCGGCAACAGCUCAAAUUUGAAAUCUGUCCCUCUUAGGGUCCGAGUUGUAAUUUGCAGAGGGUGCUUUGGCGUUGGCAGCAGCCUAAGUUCCUUGGAACAGGUCAUCAUAGAGGGUGAGAGUCCCGUUUGUGGCUGCUUGUCUUUGCUGUGUAAAGCCCCUUCGACGAGUCGAGUUGUUUGGGAAUGCAGCUCUAAAUGGGAGGUAAAUUUCUCCUAAAGCUAAAUAUUGGCCAGAGACCGAUAGCGCACAAGUAGAGUGAUCGAAAGAUGAAAAGCACUUUGGAAAGAGAGUCAAAAAGCACGUGAAAUUGUUGAAAGGGAAGCGCUUGCAGCCAGACGUGCCCGUAGUUGCUCAUCUAGGGGCUCUCCCUAGUGCACUCUUCUAUGGGCAGGCCAGCAUCAGUCCGGGCGGUUGGAGAAAGACCUGUGUCACGUAGCUCUUUUCGGGGAGUGUUAUAGGGCAGGUGGAAUGCAAUCAGCCUAGACUGAGGUCCGCGCAUCUGCUAGGAUGCUGGCGUAAUGGCUGUAAGCGGCC
Molecule: ribosomal RNA, 1126 nt
Filed under: uncultured fungus
Lineage: Eukaryota; Fungi
Description: eukaryotic LSU rRNA
Rfam family: Eukaryotic large subunit ribosomal RNA (bases 494-1126)
Source: RNAcentral